UAAGCCUGCGAAGGUGGCCUGUGAGGGUUGCUGGAGGUAUCAGAAGUGCGAAUGCUGACAUAAGUAACGAUAAAGCGGGUGAAAAGCCCGCUCGCCGGAAGACCAAGGGUUCCUGUCCAACGUUAAUCGGGGCAGGGUGAGUCGACCCCUAAGGCGAGGCCGAAAGGCGUAGUCGAUGGGAAACGGGUUAAUAUUCCCGUACUUGGUGUUACUGCGAAGGGGGGACGGAGAAGGCUAUGUUGGCCGGGCGACGGUUGUCCCGGUUUAAGCGUGUAGGCUGGUUUUCCAGGCAAAUCCGGAAAAUCAAGGCUGAGGCGUGACGACGAGGCACUACGGUGCUGAAGCAACAAAUGCCCUGCUUCCAGGAAAAGCCUCUAAGCAUCAGGUAACAUCAAAUCGUACCCCAAACCGACACAGGUGGUCAGGUAGAGAAUACCAAGGCGCUUGAGAGAACUCGGGUGAAGGAACUAGGCAAAAUGGUGCCGUAACUUCGGGAGAAGGCACGCUGACACGUAGGUGAAGUGAUUUACUCAUGGAGCUGAAGUCAGUCGAAGAUACCAGCUGGCUGCAACUGUUUAUUAAAAACACAGCACUGUGCAAACACGAAAGUGGACGUAUACGGUGUGACGCCUGCCCGGUGCCGGAAGGUUAAUUGAUGGGGUCAGCGCAAGCGAAGCUCCUGAUCGAAGCCCCGGUAAACGGCGGCCGUAACUAUAACGGUCCUAAGGUAGCGAAAUUCCUUGUCGGGUAAGUUCCGACCUGCACGAAUGGCGUAAUGAUGGCCAGGCUGUCUCCACCCGAGACUCAGUGAAAUUGAACUCGCUGUGAAGAUGCAGUGUACCCGCGGCAAGACGGAAAGACCCCGUGAACCUUUACUAUAGCUUGACACUGAACAUUGAGCCUUGAUGUGUAGGAUAGGUGGGAGGCUUUGAAGUGUGGACGCCAGUCUGCAUGGAGCCAACCUUGAAAUACCACCCUUUAAUGUUUGAUGUUCUAACGUGGACCCGUAAUCCGGGUUGCGGACAGUGUCUGGUGGGUAGUUUGACUGGGGCGGUCUCCUCCUAAAGAGUAACGGAGGAGCACGAAGGUUGGCUAAUCCUGGUCGGACAUCAGGAGGUUAGUGCAAUGGCAUAAGCCAGCUUGACUGCGAGCGUGACGGCGCGAGCAGGUGCGAAAGCAGGUCAUAGUGAUCCGGUGGUUCUGAAUGGAAGGGCCAUCGCUCAACGGAUAAAAGGUACUCCGGGGAUAACAGGCUGAUACCGCCCAAGAGUUCAUAUCGACGGCGGUGUUUGGCACCUCGAUGUCGGCUCAUCACAUCCUGGGGCUGAAGUAGGUCCCAAGGGUAUGGCUGUUCGCCAUUUAAAGUGGUACGCGAGCUGGGUUUAGAACGUCGUGAGACAGUUCGGUCCCUAUCUGCCGUGGGCGCUGGAGAACUGAGGGGGGCUGCUCCUAGUACGAGAGGACCGGAGUGGACGCAUCACUGGUGUUCGGGUUGUCAUGCCAAUGGCACUGCCCGGUAGCUAAAUGCGGAAGAGAUAAGUGCUGAAAGCAUCUAAGCACGAAACUUGCCCCGAGAUGAGUUCUCCCUGAGACUUAAAGUCUCCUGAAGGAACGUUGAAGACGACGACGUUGAUAGGCCGGGUGUGUAAGCGCAGCGAUGCGUUGAGCUAACCGGUACUAAUGAACCGUGAGG
This 1693-nucleotide ribosomal RNA is filed under the name Salmonella enterica. RNAcentral describes it as "partial 23S ribosomal RNA". It matches the Rfam family "Bacterial large subunit ribosomal RNA", at positions 1243 to 2915 of the family's 2925-position model. The record is from RNAcentral. Lineage: Bacteria; Pseudomonadati; Pseudomonadota; Gammaproteobacteria; Enterobacterales; Enterobacteriaceae.